CCUACGGGUGGCAGCAGUGAGGAAUAUUGGUCAAUGGCCGUAAGGCUGAACCAGCCAAGUCGCGUUAAGGAAGAAGGAUCUAUGGUUUGUAAACCUCUUUUAUAGGGGAAUAAAGGUAUCCACGUGUGGAUAUUUGCAUGUACCCUAUGAAUAAGCAUCGGCUAACUCCGUGCCAGCCGCCGCGGUAAUACGGAGGAUCCGAACGUUAUCCGGAUUUUUUGGGUUUAAAGGGUGCGUAGGUUGUUUUUUAAGUCAGGUGUGAAAGUUUGGGGCUCAACCAUAAAAUUGCCGUUGAAACUGGAAGACUUGAGUGUGUUUGAGGUAUGCGGAAUGCGGGGUGUAGCGGUGAAAUGCAUAGAUAUCACGCAGAACUCCGAUUGCGAAGGCAGCUUACUAAGGCAUAACUGACACUGAAGCACGAAAGCGUGGGGAUCAAACAGGAUUAGAUACCCUGGUAGUC
RNAcentral lists this ribosomal RNA (460 nucleotides) under uncultured bacterium. RNAcentral's name for it is "partial 16S ribosomal RNA". It matches the Rfam family "Bacterial small subunit ribosomal RNA", at positions 338 to 795 of the family's 1533-position model. The record is from RNAcentral.